GUCAGUGUGGCCGAGUGGUUAAGGCGUCAGACUCGAACUCGAAUAGAGUAUUAUCAAUAUAUCUGAUACAUUCGUGUGCACAGGUUCGAAUCCUGUCGCUGACG
This is a non-coding RNA of Aspergillus coremiiformis, 104 nucleotides long. The record is from the annotation of a GenBank genome assembly. Lineage: Eukaryota; Fungi; Ascomycota; Eurotiomycetes; Eurotiales; Aspergillaceae.